This 969-nucleotide ribosomal RNA is filed under the name Latilactobacillus sakei. Its description in RNAcentral is "bacterial SSU rRNA". It matches the Rfam family "Bacterial small subunit ribosomal RNA", at positions 52 to 983 of the family's 1533-position model. The record is from RNAcentral. Lineage: Bacteria; Bacillati; Bacillota; Bacilli; Lactobacillales; Lactobacillaceae.
UAAUGCAGUCGAACGCACUCUCGUUUAGAUUGAAGGAGCUUGCUCCUGAUUGAUAAACAUUUGAGUGAGUGGCGGACGGGUGAGUAACACGUGGGUAACCUGCCCUAAAGUGGGGGAUAACAUUUGGAAACAGAUGCUAAUACCGCAUAAAACCUAACACCGCAUGGUGUAGGGUUGAAAGAUGGUUUCGGCUAUCACUUUAGGAUGGACCCGCGGUGCAUUAGUUAGUUGGUGAGGUAAAGGCUCACCAAGACCGUGAUGCAUAGCCGACCUGAGAGGGUAAUCGGCCACACUGGGACUGAGACACGGCCCAGACUCCUACGGGAGGCAGCAGUAGGGAAUCUUCCACAAUGGACGAAAGUCUGAUGGAGCAACGCCGCGUGAGUGAAGAAGGUUUUCGGAUCGUAAAACUCUGUUGUUGGAGAAGAAUGUAUCUGAUAGUAACUGAUCAGGUAGUGACGGUAUCCAACCAGAAAGCCACGGCUAACUACGUGCCAGCAGCCGCGGUAAUACGUAGGUGGCAAGCGUUGUCCGGAUUUAUUGGGCGUAAAGCGAGCGCAGGCGGUUUCUUAAGUCUGAUGUGAAAGCCUUCGGCUCAACCGAAGAAGUGCAUCGGAAACUGGGAAACUUGAGUGCAGAAGAGGACAGUGGAACUCCAUGUGUAGCGGUGAAAUGCGUAGAUAUAUGGAAGAACACCAGUGGCGAAGGCGGCUGUCUGGUCUGUAACUGACGCUGAGGCUCGAAAGCAUGGGUAGCAAACAGGAUUAGAUACCCUGGUAGUCCAUGCCGUAAACGAUGAGUGCUAGGUGUUGGAGGGUUUCCGCCCUUCAGUGCCGCAGCUAACGCAUUAAGCACUCCGCCUGGGGAGUACGACCGCAAGGUUGAAACUCAAAGGAAUUGACGGGGCCCGCACAAGCGGUGGAGCAUGUGGUUUAAUUCGAAGCAACGCGAGAACCUUACCAGGUCUUG